GACGAACGCUGGCGGCGUGCUUAACACAUGCAAGUCGAACGAUGAAGUACCUUCGGGAAUGGAUUAGUGGCGAACGGGUGAGGAACACGUGAACAAUCUGCCCCUUACACGGGAAUAACUUCGGGAAACCGAAGCUAAUACCCGAUAUUGAAUUCGGUAGGCAUCUACUGAAUUUGAAAUGGUCCGCCGGUAAGGGAUGAGUUCGCGGCCUAUCAGCUUGUUGGUGAGGUAACGGCGACCCAAGGCGACGACGGGUAGCCGGCCUGGGAGGGCGACCGGCCACACUGGGACUGAGACACGGCCCAGACUCCUACGGGAGGCAGCAGUGGGGAAUAUUGCGCAAUGGACGAAAGUCUGACGCAGCAACGCCGCGUGAGGGAUGACGGCCUUCGGGUUGUAAACCUCUUUCAAUCGGGACGAAGCGAAAGUGACGGUACCGAUACAAGAAGCACCGGCUAACUAUGUGCCAGCAGCCGCCGUAA
Molecule: ribosomal RNA, 482 nt
Filed under: uncultured bacterium
Lineage: Bacteria
Description: partial 16S ribosomal RNA
Rfam family: Bacterial small subunit ribosomal RNA
Source: RNAcentral